ACAGCAGAGCAGACUGAAGCUGCCUCCUGUGCUCUGGGAAUGGUUUUCAGCAACCCUGAUGGGAAAAUCGGUCAGCGCAGCCUGUCCAUGCUGCUGGGAUGGCUCUUGCUCCUUGGCUCUUGCUGUUAUCUUGAGCGAGACAAUGACCUGGUCUGCACCCAGGAUGUCCUGGCCCUGGGUUCUGCCUGUGCGAGGGCUUGGGCAGGACAGCUUAGCUGUUUCUGCAUUUAUUUUUUAAUCCAUUGCCAAGAUAUUACUAGCUAAGACCAUGAGUUUCUAUUUUUUUUUUUCCGAGACAGGGUUUCUCUGUGUAACUUCCUGCAUUUAUGAACAGACUAGAUACACAGGGUCCCUGAGGAGACUCCCAGUGAGUGAGAUUGUGCGUACAUACCUGGCGUUGCCAUUUGGAGUCUCACAGUUAACCAUUUAUAGAAUGGAAUUUCUAGUUGGGCAUUGUGGUAUGUGCCUGUAGUUCCAGCACUCAAAAGGUUGAGACAGGAGGAUUGCCCUAAUUUCUAGACUAACCUGGGCCACAUAUUGAGUUCCAGACAAACCAGGUCUACAUAGUGAUAACUUGUCUCAAAACAAAAGAAAAGUAAAUAAUAAAUAAAUAAAAAGACUCCAGUUACUAAACUAGCUUUUUAAACAACUCCUUAGGCUGCUUGUAAAGACCUAAGUGUGUGUAGCGGUGGGGGCUGGAGUCGCCUAAAUCUUUGGGGACAGCCUGGGUGGCUUGCACUUCUGUCAGAGACACUCAGGUAAGUGUCUACAGCUCCCAGUCCGGACCCUGUGUUCAUGCUGGACACACCAAUUGGGAUAUGGAAUGUGUCCAUUGGAAUGGUUCUUGGGCACUGUGGUAGCUGAGAGGCAGGACCCAGAAGACACAAAGAAGGGGUCUUCAGGCCAUGAUGGGCACACUAGAAGAGGGGGUUCAGCUUUCAUCUCAGCCCACACUUUCCUGACCUAGGAUGGGCCCGCUAGGUCCAGCCCUACAGCUUCCUCCCCCACGGAGAUGAUCACAUAGAGACUGACUCAAUCCUUCCUUCCCUCCCUGCCACUUCUUCCUGGAAAUUGCCCUCAUCUUGGGCCCUGACCUGAUGGGCCCUGGAGAAUACUGCCGGAAAUCUCCCAUCCCCCAAGGCUGGCCAGAAAGAAGAGACCAACAUGGAGUCCCUCUCCUCUCCACUGGGCUGCAGCCAGCUCUGCACCCCUUGGGAACACAGGGCCCUGAGAGGGUCUCUCUACAUAGCCCUGGCUGUCCUGCAACUCUAUGUAGACCAGGCUCUGGUCUCAAACUCACAGAGAUUUGCUUGCCUCUGCGUCCAGAUGGCUGAUAAAGGUAUGAGCCACCAUGCCCGGCCCAAAUAGCUAUUUUUUCAUGUGAUCUUUACCUGGGGACCUACUGGACUAGGGAAGACACAGUGGACAAGCUGGGCGAACCUCUGCAACAAAUAACCCAAGGUGAAAGAACAGCAAUUCUAAAGCAGCAUGGAUGUGAUGUCCCAAAGUCCUCAAGACAUCAUCAAGCUCCUGAAG
Molecule: non-coding RNA, 1536 nt
Organism: Peromyscus maniculatus bairdii (prairie deer mouse)
Lineage: Eukaryota; Metazoa; Chordata; Mammalia; Rodentia; Cricetidae
Source: RefSeq, a predicted model, not a curated record